AACGCAAAUGGCGCUUCCUGGUCUUCGGGGAGCAUGCCUGUUUGAGAACCGUAAGAGCAAAUCACCCGAACUUUAUUGUUCGGGUGGAGUUGGAUGUCACAGGCUGUGGGGGCAAGGGAGAGGAUUGCUUCUCUUCCUUUUCCCGGCUCGUGGUCCGCAAAGCUUCUUCCAUCGAUUCAAAUAGAAUGUGGGGCGGUGAGAGACACUUUUUGCGGUCUUUCCUCCAAAGGCUAGGAUAAUAUGGCACUUGCCGUGCACAUAUAUACGACAGCCGACAUUCAGAGGAAAGCCGCAAAGGGAGGGGGGUCUCUCAGUCACUCCCACAGAACCUGGUCUCAAAUCAGGCAAGAGAACCCGCUGAACUUAA
Molecule: unclassified non-coding RNA, 367 nt
Filed under: uncultured fungus
Lineage: Eukaryota; Fungi
Description: partial contains 5.8S ribosomal RNA, internal transcribed spacer 2, and large subunit ribosomal RNA
Source: RNAcentral